Molecule: long non-coding RNA, 364 nt
Filed under: Elaeis guineensis (African oil palm)
Lineage: Eukaryota; Viridiplantae; Streptophyta; Magnoliopsida; Arecales; Arecaceae
Description: long non-coding RNA (EGUI_LNC081744)
Source: RNAcentral
GUGGCAGAUCUUAUCGCGAGCAUGUGGCAUAAUUAAUGACUUUGUGGUGUCCUAUCACGGUGCGGAGCAGAGCACUUAGGGUAUGACCUCAGCAUGAUGCGAUUUGAUGUGACUCGAUAUAACCGCAUGGUAGCCUCACUUGACCGCUCACUAUUUGACUGAUAUCGAUAUCCAGAUCAAUCACUAGCCAGAGUAAGAUGAAAGGGAUUGGAAGCGAUCCGGGGUGAGUGACCCGCAUGCUAGUAGUCUCGGGCUCACUAAGUAGGAUUGAUAAGUUAGGUCGGUAGAUGACCGAUUUGAAGUGUUAGAUGCUGUAGGUAGCUGAAGAACCUGAUAUGUGGAUCAGGGCUGUUGCAAUAGGCAA